GUCGUUAACGAACGAGACCUUAACCUGCUAAAUAGCCAGGCUAGCUUUUGCUGGUCGCGGGCUUCUUAGAGGGACUAUCGGCUCAAGCCGAUGGAAGUUUGAGGCAAUAACAGGUCUGUGAUGCCCUUAGAUGCUCUGGGCCGCACGCGCGCUACACUGACGGAGCCAGCGAGUAAUUCCUUGGCCGGAAGGCCCGGGUAAUCUUGUUAAACUCCGUCGUGCUGGGGAUAGAGCAUUGCAAUUAUUGCUCUUCAACGAGGAAUCCCUAGUAAGCGCAAGUCAUCAGCUUGCGUUGAUUACGUCCCUGCCCUUUGUACACACCGCCCGUCGCUAAUACCGAUUGAAUGGAUUA
This 352-nucleotide ribosomal RNA is filed under the name Eukaryota sp. Its description in RNAcentral is "SSU rRNA". It matches the Rfam family "Eukaryotic small subunit ribosomal RNA", at positions 1324 to 1700 of the family's 1831-position model. The record is from RNAcentral.